Molecule: long non-coding RNA, 311 nt
Organism: Ornithodoros turicata
Lineage: Eukaryota; Metazoa; Arthropoda; Arachnida; Ixodida; Argasidae
Exons: 3
Source: RefSeq, a predicted model, not a curated record
CUGUAAAGCAAUACGAGGAGCUUCGACUUCUAGAAUCCAUUGAUUCAUCUGAAGAUGAUGACCUUGUAUCUAAAAAGGAGCUUGAUGAAGUAAGGGAAAGAUACGAAAAUGUUCUGAGUGAGAACCGAAGGUUACGGAAGGCCAACCUCCAACUACAAAGUGCGCUCUGCUCUAAAAUUUUUCAAAUCGAAAAUGCUGGGGGCCAUGUGACAUCACCCCAUGCCAUCCUGAAGCAUAACCAGACUCAAACCCACUUGGCUCCACCUCCAAAGCUUCACUCAUCCGAGCUUGUUCACUGAUUUAAGCCCCAC